CGGUCCCCUCCUGUGCAACCCGAAGUUCUUGUGUCCCAUUUCGGUGCUUUGCACCCACUGCUACAACAGCGGUUGCAGAAUUAGGCAGCGUCAGGUUGUGCUGCCACCCUCUCUGCCCACUGAUUAUUAAGCUGUGACAGUCAUUUGGGCUGUGACAAGCAGUCCCCGCUCUCCUGCAGUUUCUAAGCAAUCUUCCCGAGGUCUCUCCCAGGGCUGACAGUUCCCUGCUGCUGCCCACACUGCUGUGUCCUGCUCCCAAGGCAGCAGGCAGGGCAAGGGCAGAGGAGCUGGGGCCAGCAGAGCCUGGCGUGCCACACUCUGGGACUCCAGGGCUCUGGUGGGCCUGGUGCCAGGAGUUGUGGCCGACCCCAGCUCCUUCCUGGCUCUUCUGGCAUUCCCAGGAGCUGGGCUGGAAGAAGAGCUGGAGCACUGGGGAGGGUUGCUGAACUGCCUGGACCAGGACAAAGGGGUGACCAGACAGGUCCUGCUUGUCUGACCCUGCUUCCUCAGAGGGCACCUGCCCUCGCCGCCCGCUCCCGGCUCCAAGCGAGUCCUCUGCUCCCUCUGCUCCCCCUCAGAAAGCUCCCUGCAGAGCUGCAGGGCUGUCCGCCUCCCCGAGAUUGUUGGUGGUACAAGAGCCCCCAGACACCCACCAGCACUGCGAUGUGUGGGAGAAGGGAGCUGGCUGUGGGGGCUGCGCUGGGCUCCCUGCCCGGGGGGCGACUACAGGGGCUCCCCACUGCCGGGGCAGGCUCCCCACACCUCGGGGCUGCCCCCUGUCCCCAGGGCAGGCUCCCCACUGCAGCCCCAUGCCCAGGACUGGCUUCCCACACCUUGGGGCUGGAUCCCCACUGCUCAGAGUUGGUUUCCCACUGCCCGGGGCUGGCUCCCCACACCUGAGGGCUGGAUCCCCGUGCCCAGGGCUGGCUCCCCACUGCCUGGGGCUGACUCCCUGUAACCCGGGGCUGGCUCCCCGCGGCUCGGACAGCCCAGCACCUGUCCCACACGCCGGGGAACCGUGGUGGCCCCACCGCCAGCCCCAUCCCGCGCCGUCCCCGUCAGGAGNNNNNNNNNNNNNNN
This 1080-nucleotide long non-coding RNA is filed under the name Cyanistes caeruleus (blue tit). Its description in RNAcentral is "lncRNA (ENSCCEG00000019975.1)". Lineage: Eukaryota; Metazoa; Chordata; Aves; Passeriformes; Paridae. The record is from RNAcentral.